GAUGAACGCUAGCGGCAGGCCUAAUACAUGCAAGUCGAACGGUAAGUAGAGUAGCAAUACUUUGCCUAGAGUGACGUACGGGUGCGUAACACGUAUGCAACCUACCCUUUACAGGCGGAUAGCUCGGGGAAACCCGAAUUAACCCGCCGUGGUAUCAUUGAAUGGCAUCAUUUGACGAUUAAAACUCCGGUGGUAAAGGA
This 200-nucleotide ribosomal RNA is filed under the name uncultured bacterium. Its description in RNAcentral is "partial 16S ribosomal RNA". It matches the Rfam family "Bacterial small subunit ribosomal RNA", at positions 28 to 225 of the family's 1533-position model. The record is from RNAcentral.